RNAcentral lists this ribosomal RNA (256 nucleotides) under uncultured bacterium. Its description in RNAcentral is "partial 16S ribosomal RNA". It matches the Rfam family "Bacterial small subunit ribosomal RNA", at positions 524 to 776 of the family's 1533-position model. The record is from RNAcentral.
UACGUAGGUGGCAAGCGUUGUCCGGAUUUAUUGGGUUUAAAGGGUGCGUAGGCGGCCCUGUAAGUCAGUGCUGAAAUAUCCCGGCUUAACCGGGAGGGUGGCAUUGAUACUGCAGGGCUUGAGUACAGAUGAAGUAGGCGGAAUUGACGGUGUAGCGGUGAAAUGCAUAGAUAUCGUCAAGAACACCGAUAGCGAAGGCAGCUUACUAAGCUGUAACUGACGCUGAGGCACGAAAAGUGUGGGGGAUCAAAACAGG